RNAcentral lists this ribosomal RNA (400 nucleotides) under uncultured bacterium. RNAcentral's name for it is "bacterial SSU rRNA". It matches the Rfam family "Bacterial small subunit ribosomal RNA", at positions 975 to 1373 of the family's 1533-position model. The record is from RNAcentral.
CAGCCCUUGACUUGUGACUCGCCGGCUCCAGAGACGGAGCCUUCGGUUCGGCCGGAGUCAACACAGGUGCUGCAUGGCUGUCGUCAGCUCGUGUCGUGAGAUGUUGGGUUAAGUCCCGCAACGAGCGCAACCCUCGUCUCCAGUUGCCAUCAGGUUAUGCUGGGCACUUUGGAGAAACUGCCGGUGACAAGCCGGAGGAAGGUGGGGAUGACGUCAAGUCCUCAUGGCCCUUACGGGCUGGGCUACACACGUGCUACAAUGGCGGUGACAGUGGGAUGCGAAGGGGCGACCCGGAGCCGAUCCUAAAAGCCGUCUCAGUUCGGAUUGCACUCUGCAACUCGAGUGCAUGAAGGUGGAAUCGCUAGUAAUCGAGGAUCAGCAUGCCUCGGUGAAUACGUUC